GGGGACGUAACAAAGCGACCCAGGAAUACUUGGGCGUGCCUCCACCCACGCCGGCGUCGGCGGGCGUAUUUCGCCUCACAGUAGGUCGCCGCGACCCGUUGCUUUUGGGGACGUCGAAGGCCCGGACGGAUUGGUACCCUACCGGCUGGGGAUGCGGCUUCGGCUUCUCCUCUUGUCCGGUGGGCGAAACCGCCGGUGUCCUGGCUGCCCUGCGACGGUCGUAGAGACGAGCCCCUCCCAUUCGUGGGGGGCGGCUCUCGCGGCGUGCAAAAGGUCGGUGAUCCACCCGACCCGUCUUGAAACACGGACCAAGGAGUCUAACAUGUGUGCGAGUCAGUGGGCGCACUAAACCCAGAGGCGUAAUGAAAGUGACACGGGUUCGGCUGUCGCCUCGUGUGGCAGCCGGACUCAGGGCCGAUCCCUCACCGGUUGCCCUCGCCUCUCUCCCGCGUCUCGGUAAGCCGGGUGAGCUAUUUUCCCCGGCCGCUGCUGCGGGGCUCGGGGGGAGGCGGGGUGCGAUGGUGUCCGUAAAAAAGAGCCUGCUGUUGCAGGGGGGCGCAGGCCCGGGACUUGCCAGGACGCCGCGAGACUGUCACUUUGCUGUGAGGCUCCAGGGUCGAUCAGCGGGUCAUGCGUGCAGUCGGCAAGUACCAUGAGCAGACAUGUUGGGACCCGAAAGAUGGUGAACUAUGCCUGGCCAGGAUGAAGCCAGAGGAAACUCUGGUGGAGGUCCGUAGCGAUUCUGACGUGCAAAUCGAUCGUCGGAGCUGGGUAUAGGGGCGA
This 783-nucleotide ribosomal RNA is filed under the name Procambarus okaloosae. RNAcentral's name for it is "eukaryotic LSU rRNA". The stretch from base 308 to 783 matches the Rfam family "Eukaryotic large subunit ribosomal RNA", at positions 665 to 926 of the family's 3401-position model. Lineage: Eukaryota; Metazoa; Arthropoda; Malacostraca; Decapoda; Cambaridae. The record is from RNAcentral.